AGAGUUUGAUCAUGGCUCAGGACGAACGCUGGCGGCGUGCCUAACACAUGCAAGUCGAGCGGAGUCGGUAAGAGGAAGUUUUCGGAUGGAAUCUUAUUGAUUUAGCGGCGGACGGGUGAGUAACGCGUGAGCGACCAACCUUGCACAGGGGGAUAACGGACCGAAAGGUUCACUAAUACCGCAUGAGACCACGGUGUUGCAUGACACAGAGGUCAAAGGAGCAAUCCGGUGCAAGACGGGCUCGCGUCCGAUUAGGUAGUUGGAGGGUAACGGCCCACCAAGCCUAUGAUCGGUAGCCGACCUGAGAGGGUGAUCGGCCACAUUGGAACUGAGAUACGGUCCAAACUCCUACGGGAGGCAGCAGUGGGGAAUAUUGGGCAAUGGGGGAAAAACCCCCUGACCCAGCAACGCCGCGUGAAGGAAGAAGGUUUUCGGAUUGUAAACUUCUGUCCUUGGUGAAGAGAAGAAGACGGUAGCCAAGGAGGAAGCCCCGGCUAACUACGUGCCAGCCGCAGC
RNAcentral lists this ribosomal RNA (516 nucleotides) under uncultured bacterium. RNAcentral describes it as "bacterial SSU rRNA". It matches the Rfam family "Bacterial small subunit ribosomal RNA", at positions 8 to 518 of the family's 1533-position model. The record is from RNAcentral.